AGCACACCUUUUUAUUCUGGCACUUUGAGUGUCCGAUUUGUAAUUUGAAGAAGGUAUCUUUGGGUCUGGCUCUUGUCUAUGUUUCUUGGAACAGAACGUCACAGAGGGUGAGAAUCCCGUGCGAUGAGAUGUCCCAGACCUAUGUAAAGUUCCUUCGAAGAGUCGAGUUGUUUGGGAAUGCAGCUCUAAGUGGGUGGUAAAUUCCAUCUAAAGCUAAAUAUUGGCGAGAGACCGAUAGCGAACAAGUACAGUGAUGGAAAGAUGAAAAGAACUUUGAAAAGAGAGUGAAAAAGUACGUGAAAUUGUUGAAAGGGAAGGGCUUGAGAUCAGACUUGGUAUUUUGUAUGUUACUCUCUCGGGGGUGGCCUCUACAGUUUACCGGGCCAGCAUCAGUUUGAGCGGUAGGAUAAGUGCAAAGAAAUGUGGCACUGCUUCGGUAGUGUGUUAUAGUCUUUGUCGAUACUGCCAGCUUAGACUGAGGACUGCGGCUUCGGCCUAGGAUGUUGGCAUAAUGAUCUUAAGUCGC
RNAcentral lists this ribosomal RNA (526 nucleotides) under Lodderomyces parapsilosis. RNAcentral describes it as "Candida parapsilosis partial large subunit ribosomal RNA". It matches the Rfam family "Eukaryotic large subunit ribosomal RNA", at positions 106 to 648 of the family's 3401-position model. The record is from RNAcentral. Lineage: Eukaryota; Fungi; Ascomycota; Pichiomycetes; Serinales; Debaryomycetaceae.